This 449-nucleotide ribosomal RNA is filed under the name uncultured bacterium. RNAcentral's name for it is "bacterial SSU rRNA". It matches the Rfam family "Bacterial small subunit ribosomal RNA", at positions 355 to 796 of the family's 1533-position model. The record is from RNAcentral.
UGGGGAAUUUUGCGCAAUGGGCUAACGCCUGACGCAGCAACGCCGCGUGGAGGAUGAAGGUCUUUGGAUUGUAAACUCCUGUCGACCGGGAAAAAGCAACUCGACCUAAUACGUCGGGGAGUUGAUUGUACCGGUGGAGGAAGCCCCGGCUAACUCUGUGCCAGCAGCCGCGGUAAUACAGAGGGGGCAAGCGUUAUUCGGAAUUAUUGGGCGUAAAGGGCGCGUAGGCGGCCUGGCAAGUGGAAGGUGAAAUCCCUCGGCUUAACCGAGGAACUGCCCUCCAAACUGCUUGGCUUGAGUCCGGGAGAGGUGAGUGGAAUUCCCAGUGUAGCGGUGAAAUGCGUAGAUAUUGGGAGGAACACCAGUGGCGAAGGCGGCUCACUGGACCGGAACUGACGCUGAGGCGCGAAAGCGUGGGGAGCAAACGGGAUUAGAUACCCCUGUAGUCC